RNAcentral lists this ribosomal RNA (639 nucleotides) under uncultured bacterium. RNAcentral describes it as "bacterial SSU rRNA". It matches the Rfam family "Bacterial small subunit ribosomal RNA", at positions 232 to 885 of the family's 1533-position model. The record is from RNAcentral.
CGCGGCCUAUCAGCUUGUUGGUGAGGUAAUGGCUCACCAAGGCGACGACGGGUAGCCGGCCUGAGAGGGUGACCGGCCACACAGGGACUGAGACACGGCCCAGACUCCUACGGGAGGCAGCAGUGGGGAAUAUUGCACAAUGGGCGCAAGCCUGAUGCAGCGACGCCGCGUGAGGGAUGACGGCCUUCGGGUUGUAAACCCCUUUCAGCAGGGACGAAAAUGACGGUACCUGCAGAAGAAGCCCCGGCCAACUACGUGCCAGCAGCCGCGGUAACACGUAGGGGGCAAGCGUUGUCCGGAUUUAUUGGGCGUAAAGAGCUCGUAGGCAGUUGCGUAAGUCGGAUGUGAAAACUCAGGGCUCAACCCGGAGACUGCAUUCGAUACUGCGCUGACUAGAGUCCGGUAGGGGAGCAUGGAAUUCCUGGUGUAGCGGUGAAAUGCGCAGAUAUCAGGAGGAACACCAGUGGCGAAGGCGGUGCUCUGGGCCGGUACUGACGCUGAGGAGCGAAAGCGUGGGUAGCGAACAGGAUUAGAUACCCUGGUAGUCCACGCCGUAAACGUUGGGCACUAGGUGUGGGGCCUACUUAACGGGUUCCGUGCCGUAGCUAACGCAUUAAGUGCCCCGCCUGGGGAGUACGG